RNA transcript from Triplophysa rosa, 4397 nucleotides. It is a transcript of the gene named FILIA-N KH-like domain-containing protein, with no coding region annotated. The record is from RefSeq and is a predicted model, not a curated record. The transcript is spliced from 7 exons. Lineage: Eukaryota; Metazoa; Chordata; Actinopteri; Cypriniformes; Nemacheilidae.
UGUCUAUUUAGGGAGCGAACACGGUUGAGACACAACCAUGAGAAAGCGUCUGCAGCACAUGCAGCUCUAUCAGAUGAGCUCAGAGACGCGCUAACGGGACGAGCUGAAGCGUCUGCUCUCAUACACCACAAGAGACUAACAAGAGAAAAACAACUUUCAAAAACUUCUCGUUUAUAUUAACAACAACAGGCUCAGUCAUGACUAUAGACGCGCCAGUGAUUUUAUCCGCACUUUUCUUCACAAUUAUUGCCAUUAUAGUUGCGUCGUCGCUUCUGGCGAAGAAAUCUUCGCCAAAGAAAGAGCGACAGGAGGAGAGACCCGACCGAGAGGUUACUGAGUCCAGAGAGGAGAUACCUCCUGUUCCAGUGAAGAUUGAGGAGAAAAUACCUCCUGCUCCAGUGAAGUCUGAAGAGAAAAGACCUACUGCUCCAGUGAAGAUUGAGGAGAAAAUACCUCCUGCUCCAGUGAAGUCUGAAGAGAAAAGACCUACUGCUCCAGUGAAGAUUGAGGAGAAAAUACCUGCUCCGGUUCAGCAAACACCUGUCCAGACAGUGGUAGACACUGAGCUGAGAAAUGAGGAACCUGUUCCAGUCCUCCCUGUUAUUGAGGAGAUUGGUGUUGUGGAGGAAGCGUCUCCAGUGGAACUUGAAAUCAUCCCUGUGCAGCAGACACCUGUUCAGGCAGCUCUAAAGCCAGACCUUGUCCCUGAGGUUGUUGAACCCACACCAGUAAAAGAGCCAACCCCUCUGGCACCUGAGCCAGCGCCUGAGCAAGAAUUACCCACCCCUAAACCAGAGACAUUGACCGCAUUGGUAGAGGACCCAGUGGCUGAAACAACCCCAGAGGUACCAGUCCCUGAGCCAGAAUCCGUGCCCCUCCUCGAAUCUGUGCCUGUCCCUGAACCAGAAUCUGUGCCAUCACUAGAACCUGAAUCUGCCCCUGAACCUGUGCCUGAACAAGAAGCUGCACCCGCCCGUGAACCAGAAACUGUGCCUGCCCCUGAAUCUGUGCCAGUCCCUGAACCUGGAUCUGCACCUGCCCCUGAACCAGAAUCUGUGCCAGUCCCUGAACCUGGAUCUGCACCUGCCCCUGAACCAGAAUCUGUGCCAGUCCCUGAACCUAAAUCUGCACCCGAACCAAAAUCUGUUCCUGCCCCUGAAUCUGCACCCCUCCCUGAACCAAAAUCCGCAUCUGUGCCAGUUCCUGAACCGGAAUCUGCACCUGCCCCUGAAUCUGCAUCUGCCCCUGAACAGGAAUCUGCGUCAGUCCCAGAGGCCUCUCCAGUAGCAGAGACCGUUCCAGAGAUCCUGGAGCUUAAUGAUGUUGCAGCUGCCUCACAGGAAGAUGAGAGCGAGACCUCCGCAGUCGUGCCUGGUAAGAAGAGGACCACCAAGUUUGAGGGGAGAAUGUCCAAAGAAGAGAUGGAGGAGGAACAAAGGAUAGAGUUCACAAGUGACUUUACGUCUCUUUAAACAACAGUUUCAGACCAAUGAUUCAAGAUAAACAUAACCGACCGAGCCUCCUCCUACAUGUUUCACUGUAGGUAUGGUGUUCACUUCUUUGAAAGCUUGAUUUUUUUCAUCUGUGAACAUAAGAGCUGAUGUGACUUGCCAAAAAGCUCCAGUUUGGACUCAUCUGUCCAAAGGACAUUCUCCCAGAAGGAUUGUGGCUUGUCAAUAUGAAUUUGAGAUAAUUCCAUUCUGGCUUUUUUAUGUUUUUCUUCCUCAUGGGUCUUCUUCCAUGGUGCCCACUUUUGCUCAAAUAGCGACGGAUGGUGCGAUCAGAAACUGACUCACCUUGGAGUUCAGCUUGUAUCUCUUUGGCAGUUAUCCUUGGUUGUUUUUCUACCAUUCUCACUAUCCUUCUGUUCAAUCUGGGGUGGAUUUUCCUCUUGCGGCCGCGCUCAGGGAGGUUGGCUACAAGACCUUAAACUUCUUAAUAUUUGCAACUGUUGUCACAGGAACAUCGAGCUGCUUGGAGAUGGUCUUGUAGCCUUUACCUUUACCAUGCUUGUCUAUUAUUUUCUUUCUGAGCUCCUCAGACAACUCUAUCCUUUGCUUUCUCUGGUCCAUGUUCAGUGUGGUGCACACAAUGAUACCAAACAGCACAGUGACUGGUUUUCUCCGUUUAAAUAGGCUGAAUGACUGAUUACAAGAUUGAAUACAUGUGUGAUACUAAUCAAAGAAACUAAUUAGUUUGAAAUAUACGUCUGUAUGUAUUUUGAAAUACCCUUACUUAAGCGUACUAUAUCAGUGAUACAUAUUUUAGCCACAUAAAUCAUAUAUAUUAUUUUGAAUUUAAUACAGUUAUUGGUCGCACCACAUGAUAUUUUGACACUUUAAAUUACAGAAAAAUGACAAAUAACUCCUGUUUUUAAAAAAAACUUAUAUAUACUGUAUAUAUGAUAUUUUCUGAUGCAUUUAAACCCAUUUUUAACUAAAAAGCAGUCUUGAGAGAAAUGUAUAGGAUUCACAUUUGAGGUGCAAUAAGCUGUUUGAGAUCAUCGUAAAAAGGAGUUUUUAUAUGGCUUAUGUUUAAGCUUUCACUCGAUGUUCUGUCUGUCUGUGUGGCUGCGUCCGAAAUCACAUACUUCCAUACUAUAUAGUAGGCGAAAAUGAGUAUGAGUCAUGAAUAUUAUGUCCGAAACCUCAGUAUGCAAAAAACAGUAGGCGAGAAAUACCCGGAUGGUCUACUACUUCCGCCGAGAUUCGUGAGUGUGGAUCGGAUGGACACUUCUCUAUCCCAUGAUGCCACGGGAGCUGAGCAACGGUCAAAUUUCAAAAGUAAAUCAAAUAAAUAUAGCGGAAAAUAAAUUAAUUUAUCGUGACUAAAUUAUGUUUUUAUCAACACUCACGUAUAGGUUGUUGUUAAUACGCCGUAGGUCAAAGAGCAUACGGGUCACAUGACCAUAAAACAUGGCGGACGCAGUAUGUUCCGAAAUGUAUUCAUACUAUUCCCACUCAUACUAUAUAGAACGUACUGUUUUAACGGCCGAUAGGUAGGUACUUAUUCAAAUUCAGUACGUACUGUCACAGUAUGUGAUUUCGGAUGCAGCCUGUGUCUUUGCAUGUGUGUUUCCCUGCACAUCAUCAUUCAUGUUUCUCACUGCAUGGGCAACAUCUCACAAUGAACACUGGUAAACGGUGUCAGUCUUUUUUAGGGGUUUUACCUCAAUGGGAUUUGCCAGGAACAUAGGGUACAAUUGCAUGUAAAUAAAUGGUCAUUAUUUUCUCCUGAAUGUUUCCGGUUCUCCUGGUGUUGGCUCUGAUGUUAAGAUCAGUUUAACUGCUGCAUGACUAAUACACUCCGAUGAGCUUUUACCAGUAACAUCACAACACCAGAGCUGAUGAUGAGUUGCUGAGUAAAGCUCAAACCAGAGUGUGUGGGAAGAUUCCCCCCCCCAAACCGAAGCUUCAGGACCUUUGCAGAGUGCCGACUUUUAUUGACUGUCUCCAAAAUGUGUUGUCAUGGAAAAUGAGCAUCGCUCUUAAGUCUUUUUGUACAUGUUGCAGAUCUGCCUGUGAAUAGCCGGCUUUGUCAAGAAAAAUGCCAAAGAGUCUAAAACAAUAAUUUAAACCUGUUUUGGUUUGUGUUUUGUCACAUUUCUUAAGGCCCCCAGUCUAAGAGAGGUCUAUUGAAACCAAUUAUUUCAUCUGAGAUUGACUUUAGGUUAACUUAAAUGUUUACUGUCCCUUACAAAUAUUUAUAAUAUGGAGGAAGUAUUGGUAAACCAGCAGUUUGCUAUUGUUUUUGUUUUUCAUUUUCUUUGUCUGGUGAUUUGAAUAUGAGAUUUUAAUGAAAUCUUGUAUGAAAUUAAACUCAUUGUGUAUGUUUUGAGCUCCAGUGUUUUCCGGAUUUAUGCUACAGACGUUGUGACCAUCAUGAACUUCAGAAUAUCCAGCACGCCCCCUUGUGGACCAUCAAAGAUGUGACAUCAUAGACAGAGCGAAAUGUGUUUAACGUGGAGUCAGGCAUACUUGAUGAAAUAGAUGAAGAUUAUGGAUUUUGUUGAUUGUUAUGGUCAUAAACGGAAAGUAAUUUAACUGAAUCUCACAAAAAUAUAACUAGGUAAUUUUUACCCUAAAAUCGCAAGUAAAAUCAUUUUAAAAUAUCUUUUUUUUUCAAUGGGACAUUAAUAAUUAGAUAAUGUCACGAUGAAACAAACAGGAGAAGUGUGGCAUGAGAGUACUUUCGAUAUCAAGACCCUGAAUGCCUGAACUGUCUUUUGCAUUUUUUCAUGAAGGUCACUCUUGUCAUAAAUAAAAGAUCAAUAAAGAGCCAGACUGUAUACAUUUCUGUUUGCAGUAUUACUUCUUCUAACACACUGUGCACGCCCUCAUUGAGUAUAUUGUGAGUUUAUAAGAGUGUGUUUGUGUGACUUUGUGCUGUUGUGUUUC